RNAcentral lists this ribosomal RNA (460 nucleotides) under uncultured bacterium. RNAcentral's name for it is "partial 16S ribosomal RNA". It matches the Rfam family "Bacterial small subunit ribosomal RNA", at positions 338 to 795 of the family's 1533-position model. The record is from RNAcentral.
CCUACGGGUGGCAGCAGUGAGGAAUAUUGGUCAAUGGGCGCGAGCCUGAACCAGCCAAGUCGCGUGAGGGAGGACGGCCCUACGGGUUGUAAACCUCUUUUGCCGGGGAGCAACGGGCGUCACGUUUGGCGCCACUGAGAGUACCCGGAGAAAAAGCAUCGGCUAACUCCGUGCCAGCAGCCGCGGUAAUACGGAGGAUGCGAGCGUUAUCCGGAUUUAUUGGGUUUAAAGGGUGCGUAGGCGGGACCUUAAGUCAGCGGUAAAAUUGCGGUGCUCAACGCCGUAGAGCCGUUGAAACUGGGGUUCUAGAGUGAGCGAGAAGUAUGCGGAAUGCGUGGUGUAGCGGUGAAAUGCAUAGAUAUCACGCAGAACCCCGAUUGCGAAGGCAGCAUACCGGCGCUCAACUGACGCUGAGGCACGAAAGUGCGGGUAUCGAACAGGAUUAGAUACCCUAGUAGUC